AGAAUCAACGCUGGCGGCGUGCCUAACACAUGCAAGUCGCACGAGAAAGGGGAGCAAUCCCUGAGUACAGUGGCGCACGGGUGAGUAACACGUGAAUAAUCUACCUCCGAGUGGGGAAUAACUGAGAGAAAUCUUAGCUAAUACCGCAUAACACUUACGAGUCAAAGCAGCAAUGCGCUUGGAGAGGAGUUCGCGGCCGAUUAGUUAGUUGGCGGGUAAUGGCCCACCAAGACGAUGAUCGGUA
Molecule: ribosomal RNA, 244 nt
Filed under: uncultured bacterium
Lineage: Bacteria
Description: partial small subunit ribosomal RNA
Rfam family: Bacterial small subunit ribosomal RNA
Source: RNAcentral